Molecule: ribosomal RNA, 1017 nt
Filed under: uncultured organism
Description: bacterial SSU rRNA
Rfam family: Bacterial small subunit ribosomal RNA
Source: RNAcentral
UGAGGAAUAUUGGUCAAUGGACGAGAGUCUGAACCAGCCAAGUAGCGUGAAGGAUGACUGCCCUAUGGGUUGUAAACUUCUUUUAUACGGGAAUAAAGUGAGGCACGUGUGCCUUUUUGUAUGUACCGUAUGAAUAAGGAUCGGCUAACUCCGUGCCAGCAGCCGCGGUAAUACGGAGGAUCCGAGCGUUAUCCGGAUUUAUUGGGUUUAAAGGGAGCGUAGGCGGACGCUUAAGUCAGUUGUGAAAGUUUGCGGCUCAACCGUAAAAUUGCAGUUGAUACUGGGUGUCUUGAGUACAGUAGAGGCAGGCGGAAUUCGUGGUGUAGCGGUGAAAUGCUUAGAUAUCACGAAGAACUCCGAUUGCGAAGGCAGCUUACUGGAUUGUAACUGACGCUGAUGCUCGAAAGUGUGGGUAUCAAACAGGAUUAGAUACCCUGGUAGUCCACACAGUAAACGAUGAAUACUCGCUGUUGGCGAUAUACGGUCAGCGGCCAAGCGAAAGCAUUAAGUAUUCCACCUGGGGAGUACGCCGGCAACGGUGAAACUCAAAGGAAUUGACGGGGGCCCGCACAAGCGGAGGAACAUGUGGUUUAAUUCGAUGAUACGCGAGGAACCUUACCCGGGCUUAAAUUGCAACUGACUGAACCGGAAACGGUUCCUUCUUCGGACAGUUGUGAAGGUGCUGCAUGGUUGUCGUCAGCUCGUGCCGUGAGGUGUCGGCUUAAGUGCCAUAACGAGCGCAACCCUUAUCGAUAGUUACUAGCAGGUCAUGCUGAGGACUCUAUUGAGACUGCCGUCGUAAGAUGUGAGGAAGGUGGGGAUGACGUCAAAUCAGCACGGCCCUUACGUCCGGGGCUACACACGUGUUACAAUGGGGGGUACAGAAGGCAGCUACACGGCGACGUGGUGCUAAUCCCGAAAGCCUCUCUCAGUUCGGAUUGGAGUCUGCAACCCGACUCCAUGAAGCUGGAUUCGCUAGUAAUCGCGCAUCAGCCGCGGCGCGGUGAAUACGUUCCC